RNAcentral lists this ribosomal RNA (777 nucleotides) under Leptonia euchroa. RNAcentral's name for it is "eukaryotic LSU rRNA". The stretch from base 220 to 373 matches the Rfam family "5.8S ribosomal RNA". Lineage: Eukaryota; Fungi; Basidiomycota; Agaricomycetes; Agaricales; Entolomataceae. The record is from RNAcentral.
UUGAAUAAAUUGGUUGAGUUGCUGCUGACUCUUUGGAGUAUGUGCACACUUUCACCACUUUUAAACCCCCCCCCUCCUGUGCACUUUGUGUAGAUUGUCAAAUACUUUGAGGAUUUGCUACAUCAGCUUGCUUCAUUGUAUUUUACAUCUAUGUUUUUAUAUACACCACAUCAGUUUAAGAAUGUUAUAUUAGGCAUUUUGUGCCUUUAAACUUAAAACAACUUUCAACAAUGGAUCUCUUGGCUCUUGCAUCGAUGAAGAACGCAGCGAAAUGCGAUAAGUAAUGUGAAUUGCAGAAUUCAGUGAAUCAUCGAAUAUUUGAACGCACCUUGCGCUCCUUGGUAUUCCGAGGAGCAUGCCUGUUUGAGAGUCAUAAUAAUCUCAACCUCAUUAAUAACUUUUGCAAGUUCAAUGGGGCUUGGACAUGGAAGUUGCGGGUUUGGUUUUUCUUUUUACUGAAAUCCGCUCUUCUUAAAUAUAUUAGCAGGAUGGUUUACUGAUUAUCUUUUGGUAUGAUAAUUAUCUAUACCAAUCAAGACUUCAGUGUACUCUGCUUCCAAUUGUCUUUUCUUAGACCAACUUGUGUAUGACUAUUUGACCUCAAAUCAGGUAGGACUACCCGCUGAACUUAAGCAUAUCAAUAAGCGGAGGAAAAGAAACUAACAAGGAUUCCCCUAGUAACUGCGAGUGAAGCGGGAAAAGCUCAAAUUUAAAAUCUGGUAGUCUUUGGCUGCCCGAGUUGUAAUCUANAGAANUAUUGUCCGCGCUGGACCGUGU